GGGGAUAACCGGGAGAAAUCCCGACUAAUACCGCGUAACGCCGCGGGGCUGCAUGGCCCGGCGGCCAAAGGAAGCGAUUCCGGCGGGGGAUGGGCAUGCGGCGCAUUAGCUAGUCGGCGGGGUAACGGCCCACCGAGGCGACGAUGCGUAGGGGUUCUGAGAGGAAGGUCCCCCACACUGGUACUGAGACACGGACCAGACUCCUACGGGAGGCAGCAGUGAGGAAUAUUGGUCAAUGGGCGGGAGCCUGAACCAGCCAAGUCGCGUGAGGGAAGACGGUCCUAUGGAUUGUAAACCUCUUUUGCCGGGGAGCAACGGGGUCCUUGCGAGGGCCUAAUGAGAGUACCCGGAGAAAAAGCAUCGGCUAACUCCGUGCCAGCAGCCGCGGUAAUACGGAGGAUGCGAGCGUUAUCCGGAUUUAUUGGGUUUAAAGGGUGCGUAGGCGGGCUGUUAAGUCAGCGGUCAAAUGUCGGGGCUCAACCCCGGCCUGCCGUUGAAACUGGCGGCCUCGAGUGGGCGAGAAGUAUGCGGAAUGCGUGGUGUAGCGGUGAAAUGCAUAGAUAUCACGCAGAACUCCGAUUGCGAAGGCAGCAUACCGGCGCCCUACUGACGCUGAGGCACGAAAGCGUGGGUAUCGAACAGGAUUAGAUACCCUGGUAGUCCACGCAGUAAACG
This 675-nucleotide ribosomal RNA is filed under the name uncultured bacterium. RNAcentral describes it as "bacterial SSU rRNA". It matches the Rfam family "Bacterial small subunit ribosomal RNA", at positions 139 to 808 of the family's 1533-position model. The record is from RNAcentral.